AGCGAACGCUGGCGGCAGGCUUAACACAUGCAAGUCGAGCGGGCACUUCGGUGUCAGCGGCAGACGGGUGAGUAACACGUGGGAACGUACCCUUUGGUUCGGAAUAACGCUGGGAAACUAGCGCUAAUACCGGAUACGCCCUUUUGGGGAAAGGCUUGCUGCCGAAGGAUCGGCCCGCGUCUGAUUAGCUAGUUGGUGGGGUAAUGGCCUACCAAGGCGACGAUCAGUAGCUGGUCUGAGAGGAUGAUCAGCCACACUGGGACUGAGACACGGCCCAGACUCCUACGGGAGGCAGCAGUGGGGAAUAUUGGACAAUGGGCGCAAGCCUGAUCCAGCCAUGCCGCGUGAGUGAUGAAGGCCUUAGGGUUGUAAAGCUCUUUUGUCCGGGACGAUAAUGACGGUAUCGGAAGAAUAAGCCCCGGCUAACUUCGUG
RNAcentral lists this ribosomal RNA (433 nucleotides) under uncultured bacterium. RNAcentral describes it as "partial 16S ribosomal RNA". It matches the Rfam family "Bacterial small subunit ribosomal RNA", at positions 29 to 507 of the family's 1533-position model. The record is from RNAcentral.